GACGAACGCUGGCGGCGUGCUUAACACAUGCAAGUCGAACGGAAAGGCCCUGCUUUUGUGGGGUGCUCGAGUGGCGAACGGGUGAGUAACCCGUGAGUAACCUGCCCUUGACUUUGGGAUAACUUCAGGAAACUGGGGCUAAUACCGGAUAGGAGCUCCUGCUGCAUGGUGGGGGUUGGAAAGUUUCGGCGGUUGGGGAUGGACUCGCGGCUUAUCAGCUUGUUGGUGGGGUAGUGGCUUACCAAGGCUUUGCCGGGUAGCCGGCCUGGGAGGGUGACCGGCCAAAAUGGGACGGGAAUGAGGCCCGGACUACAACGGGAGGGGGCAGUGGGGAAUAGUGUACUAGGGGCGGAAGCCUGAUGCAGCAAAGCCGCGUGCGGGAUGACGGCCUGCGGGUUGUAAACCGCUUUCGCCUGUGACGAAGCGUGAGUGACGGUAAUGGGUAAAGAAGCACCGGCUAACUACGUG
This 468-nucleotide ribosomal RNA is filed under the name uncultured bacterium. RNAcentral's name for it is "partial 16S ribosomal RNA". It matches the Rfam family "Bacterial small subunit ribosomal RNA", at positions 28 to 507 of the family's 1533-position model. The record is from RNAcentral.